AUACGGAGGGUGCAAGCGUUAUUCGGAAUCACUGGGCGUAAGGACGCGUAGGCGGGUUGGCAAGUCAGAUGUGAAAUCCUACAGCUUAACUGUAGAACUGCAUUUGAAACUGCUAACCUAGAGUAUGGGAGGGGGAGAUGGAAUUAGUGGUGUAGGGGUAAAAUCCGUAGAUAUCACUAGGAAUACCGAAAGCGAAGGCGAUCUCCUGGAACAUAACUGACGCUAAGGCGUGAAAGCGUGGGGAGCAAACAGGAUUAGAAACCCUAGUAGUCC
RNAcentral lists this ribosomal RNA (273 nucleotides) under uncultured bacterium. RNAcentral's name for it is "partial 16S ribosomal RNA". It matches the Rfam family "Bacterial small subunit ribosomal RNA", at positions 523 to 796 of the family's 1533-position model. The record is from RNAcentral.